CGGGGAUACGCAGGCUCCCCGACAGACGGCCACACCGUCCAAGCUCUGC
This 49-nucleotide non-coding RNA is filed under the name unclassified sequences. Its description in RNAcentral is "chromate-resist RNA". It matches the Rfam family "chrB-b RNA". The record is from RNAcentral.